UAACCAGAAAAAUUAAUCUGGCGCAAUGUAGAUACGAAUUGCAGUAUAAUAUGUGUAUAUGUACAGUGUGUUUUGUGACAAUUUCAUGGCUUGUUUCGAAUAAAUUUUUCACCUUUACUCCGUAGCGAGCAUGAAUGUUCACUGUUCUCCGACUUCCAGCUGCGGAAAAGGAAGCUAACAAUCUGGAUGGAAGCCAUCAGGGUACUUUGGUGAGAUGUUUUUCUCAUUUGGUUUCAAUAAUUCUGUUCAUGCUGUAGAUUACAGGGUGUCCAUAUUUGCAGAUAUGCUUUUGUCUGUAGAGGAUCAGGAACCAUUCACGAGCUCUUACAUGAUGCAAUGCCAUGCCAGUAAUUGCAAAGGGUGAAAGCUCCAUUUUUGACGUGAGCCUAGCUUAACUGUAGACAAGCUGCAUUUUUUCCAUUCUGUUGUUUGUCUUUCCCUGUGCAUGUUAGGACCUUUUUUUUCUCUUCCCAACUUUUGUCCAUUUGCCCCAAAUUAGCUUCCUUGGUAUUUCUGGCUGCCUUAACUGGCCCUAUUCACUUUUUGGCCUGUGGCACUGAACUGAAACUCAAACCAAACAAGAUCCAAAGACUUCAACAAAGUCUUUGACCAUCGAGUUUUUACAAUGCUUUCAUUUGUGUAGUGUGAAAUGGAAACAAAGAUCACAGUAAACCAGACUGAUGACACAGCACAGCAACCAUGCACUGCUUUUAAUAUGCAGAUUCAGUCAGUUUUCUCUGAUGCUUGCUGCACUGGUCAGAAGUAGAGACAACCAAAGGCUCAAGCUUUUAAUUCAAUAUAAGCAAAAUGCAGGUACUUAGGAUGUCUCAGAACCUGACACCAACGUUACUGUUUCAGCAGAAGAUAACUUCACCUUUACUCCGUAGCGAGCAUGAAUGUUCACUGUUCUCCGACUUCCAGCUGCGGAAAAGGAAGCUAACAAUCUGGAUGGAAGCCAUCAGGGUACUUUGGUGAGAUGUUUUUCUCAUUUGGUUUCAAUAAUUCUGUUCAUGCUGUAGAUUACAGGGUGUCCAUAUUUGCAGAUAUGCUUUUGUCUGUCGAGGCUCAGGAACCAUUCACGAGCUCUUACAUGAUGCAAUGCCAUGCCAGUAAUUGCAAAGGGUGAAAGCUCCAUUUUUGACGUGAGCCUAGCUUAACUGUAGACAAGCUGCAUUUUUUCCAUUCUGUUGUUUGUCUUUCCCUGUGCAUGUUAGGACCUUUUUUUUCUCUUCCCAACUUUUGUCCAUUUGCCCCAAAUUAGCUUCCUUGGUAUUUCUGGCUGCCUUAACUGGCCCUAUUCACUUUUUGGCCUGUGGCACUGAACUGAAACUCAAACCAAACAAGAUCCAAAGACUUCAACAAAG
This 1364-nucleotide long non-coding RNA is filed under the name Linum usitatissimum (flax). Its description in RNAcentral is "long non-coding RNA (LUSI_LNC002857)". The record is from RNAcentral. Lineage: Eukaryota; Viridiplantae; Streptophyta; Magnoliopsida; Malpighiales; Linaceae.